This 677-nucleotide ribosomal RNA is filed under the name Chloroflexota bacterium. RNAcentral's name for it is "Chloroflexi bacterium partial 23S ribosomal RNA". It matches the Rfam family "Bacterial large subunit ribosomal RNA", at positions 1 to 644 of the family's 2925-position model. Lineage: Bacteria; Bacillati; Chloroflexota. The record is from RNAcentral.
GGUCAAGUUAUUAAGGGCUUACGGUGGAUGCCUUGGGACCAAGGGCCGAUGAAGGGCGCGGCAAGGCUGCGUUAAGCCUCGGUGAGCCGUCUAGCGGGCAUAGCCGGGGAUACCCGAAUGGGGAAACCUUGACCGGUGUUGAGUCGGUCAACCUGCUUUUGCAGGGGGUAAGUGGGGGAACUGAAACAUCUAAGUACCCCGAGGAAAAUAAAUCAACCGAGAUUCCCUAAGUAGUGGCGAACGAACGGGGAACAGCCCAAACCAGUGCGACCUAACGGCAUGAGGGCCUAUGUCGCACCGGGGUUGUAGGAGUCGCCUGGGACCGCCUCAUCAGGUCCGCAGGAGUUACAAAUCCGCUUUCUAGUCGAAGGAGCCUGGGAAGGACCGCCAUAGAGGGUGAUAGCCCCGUAGGCGAAAGGAAGCGGACUCUUGGCGAAUUUCCUGAGUACCACGGGGCACGGGAAACCUUGUGGGAAUCCGGGGGGACCACCCUCCAAGGCUAAAUACCCUUGGUCACCGAUAGCGUACCAGUACCGUGAGGGAAAGGUGAAAAGAACCCCUAGCGGGGAGUGAAAUAGACCUGAAACCGUAAGCCUACAGAAGGUCGCAGUCCGCCGAAAGGCGGAUGACGGCGUGCCUAUUGAAGAAUGAUCCGGGGACUUACUGUAUGGAGCAAG